GGGCCGUUAGCUCAGUUGGUCAGAGCAGAGGACUCAUAAUCCUUUGGUCGCAGGUUCAAGUCCUGCACGGCCUACCA
RNAcentral lists this transfer RNA (77 nucleotides) under Roseateles sp. Its description in RNAcentral is "tRNA-Ile". It matches the Rfam family "tRNA". From Rfam's summary of the family: Transfer RNA (tRNA) molecules are approximately 80 nucleotides in length. Their secondary structure includes four short double-helical elements and three loops (D, anti-codon, and T loops). Further hydrogen bonds mediate the characteristic L-shaped molecular structure. tRNAs have two regions of fundamental functional importance: the anti-codon, which is responsible for specific mRNA codon recognition, and the 3' end, to which the tRNAs corresponding amino acid is attached (by aminoacyl-tRNA synthetases). tRNAs cope with the degeneracy of the genetic code in two manners: having more than one tRNA (with a specific anti-codon) for a particular amino acid; and 'wobble' base-pairing, i.e. permitting non-standard base-pairing at the 3rd anti-codon position. RNAcentral also lists the same sequence under 1 other name. Lineage: Bacteria; Pseudomonadati; Pseudomonadota; Betaproteobacteria; Burkholderiales; Sphaerotilaceae. The record is from RNAcentral.